RNAcentral lists this ribosomal RNA (3366 nucleotides) under Triticum aestivum (bread wheat). RNAcentral's name for it is "partial small subunit ribosomal RNA". The record is from RNAcentral. Lineage: Eukaryota; Viridiplantae; Streptophyta; Magnoliopsida; Poales; Poaceae.
AUGUCGAAGGCGCCCAGGAACCCCGGCGGCGGGUCGGCGGGCGCGCCCAAGUCGUCGUCCGGGCAGCCGGUGAAGUUCGCGCGCCGGACGCCGAGCGGGCGGUAUCUCAGCCUGUCGCGCGAGGACAUAGACAUGGAGGGCGAGAUGGGGCCGGACUACGCCAACUACACGGUGCACAUCCCGCCCACCCCGGACAACCAGCCCAUGAAGGACGGCUCGGAGCCGACGGCCGUGGCGAUGAAGGCCGAGGAGCAGUACGUGUCCAACUCGCUCUUCACCGGCGGGUUCAACAGCGUGACCCGCGCCCACCUCAUGGACAGGGUCAUCGACUCCGACGUGAAGCACCCGCAGAUGGCCGGGGCCAAGGCCACCCGCUGCGCCAUGCCGGCCUGCGACGGCAAGGUCAUGCGCAACGAGCGCGGCGAGGAGGUCGACCCCUGCGAGUGUAGGUUCAAGAUCUGCCGUGACUGCUACCUGGACGCGCAGAAGGACGGCUGUCUCUGCCCCGGGUGCAAGGAGCACUACAAGAUCGGCGACUACGCCGACGACGACCCGCAUGACGUGUCGGCAGGGAAGUCCCUGCUCGCCCGGAACCAGAACGGGGAGUUCGACCACAACCGGUGGCUCUUCGAGAGCUCCGGCACCUACGGCUAUGGCAACGCGUUCAUGCCCAAGGGCGGCAUGUACGAGGACGACCUGGACGAGGACGGCGCAGGCGGCGACGGCGGCAUGCCGGCGGACUUGAGCCAGAAGCCGUUCAAGCCGCUGACGCGGAAGAUACCGAUGCCGACGUCGAUCAUCAGCCCGUACCGGAUCUUCAUCGUCAUCCGGUUCUUCGUGCUCAUCUUCUACCUCACCUGGCGUAUCCGCAACCCUAACAUGGAGGCGCUCUGGCUCUGGGGCAUGUCCAUCGUCUGCGAGCUCUGGUUCGCCUUCUCCUGGCUUCUCGACAUGCUCCCCAAGGUGAACCCCAUCAACCGCAGCACCGACCUCGCCGUGCUCAAGGAGAAGUUCGAGACGCACUCGCCGUCCAACCCCCACGGCAGGUCCGACCUGCCGGGCCUCGACGUCUUCGUCUCCACCGCCGACCCGGAGAAGGAGCCGGUGCUCACCACCGCCAACACCAUCCUCUCCAUCCUGGCCGUGGACUACCCCGUGGAGAAGCUCGCAUGCUACGUGUCCGACGACGGAGGCGCGCUGCUCACCUUCGAGGCCAUGGCGGAGGCCGCGAGCUUCGCCAACAUAUGGGUGCCAUUCUGCAAGAAGCACGACAUCGAGCCCCGCAACCCAGACAGCUACUUCGCCCUCAAGGGAGACCCCACCAAGGGCAAGCGGCGGUCGGACUUCGUCAAGGACCGACGCAAGGUGAAGCGGGAAUACGAUGAGUUCAAGGUGCGAAUCAACGGCCUCCCGGACUCGAUCCGCCGCCGCUCCGACGCCUUCAACGCCCGCGAGGACAUGAAGAUGCUCAAGCACCUCCGUGAGACCGGCGCCGACCCGUCGGAGCAGCCUAAGGUGAAGAAGGCUACCUGGAUGGCCGACGGCACGCAUUGGCCGGGCACCUGGGCCGUGUCCUCGCCUGACCACGCCAAGGGUAACCACGCCGGCAUCCUACAGGUGAUGCUGAGGCCGCCGUCGCCGGACCCGCUGUACGGCAUGCAUGACGAGGACCAGCUGGUCGACUACAGUGACGUAGACACCCGGCUGCCGAUGCUGGUGUACAUGUCGCGGGAGAAGCGGCCGGGGUACGACCACAACAAGAAGGCAGGCGCCAUGAACGCCCUGGUGCGGUGCUCCGCCGUCAUGUCCAACGCGCCCUUCAUCCUCAACUUCGACUGCGACCACUACAUCAACAACACGCAGGCCAUCCGCGAGGCCAUGUGCUUCAUGAUGGACCGCGGCGGCGAGCGCAUCUGCUACAUCCAGUUCCCGCAGAGGUUCGAGGGCAUCGACCCCUCCGACCGCUACGCCAACCACAACACCGUCUUCUUCGAUGGCAACAUGCGCGCGCUCGACGGCCUCCAGGGCCCCAUGUACGUCGGCACCGGCUGCAUGUUCCGUCGCUUCGCGCUCUACGGCUUCGACCCGCCUCGGACGGCCGAGUACACAGGCUGGCUCUUCAAGAAGAAGAAGGUGACCAACUUCAAGGACCCCGAGUCGGACACGCAACAGCUCAAGGCGGAGGACUUCGAUGCGGAGCUCACGGCGCAGCUGGUGCCCAGGCGGUUCGGCAACUCGUCGGCAAUGCUGGCGUCCAUCCCCAUCGCCGAGUUCCAGGCGCGUCCAAUCGCCGACCACCCCGCCGUGCUGCACGGAAGGCCGCCAGGCACGCUCACCGUGCCACGCCCGCCGCUGGACCCGCCCACUGUUGCCGAGGCCGUCUCCGUCAUCUCCUGCUGGUACGAGGACAAGACCGAGUGGGGAGACCGUGUGGGAUGGAUCUACGGCUCCGUCACAGAGGACGUGGUCACUGGCUACCGCAUGCACAACCGCGGCUGGCGCUCCGUCUACUGGAUCAGCAAACGCGACGCCUUCCUUGGCACAGCCCCCAUCAACAUGACCGACCGUCUGCACCAGGUGUUGCGUUGGGCGACGGGGUCGGUGGAGAUCUUCUUCUCCCGGAACAACGCGUUCCUGGCAUCGCGGAAGCUCAUGUUCCUGCAGCGGGUCGCGUACCUCAACGUCGGCAUCUACCCGUUCACCUCCAUCUUCCUGCUCACCUACUGCUUCAUCCCGGCGCUUUCCCUCUUCUCCGGGUUCUUCAUCGUGCAGACGCUCAACGUCGCCUUCCUCUUCUACCUCCUCACCAUCACGGUCACCCUCAUCGCGCUCGGCAUCCUCGAGGUCAAGUGGUCAGGCAUUGAACUCGAGGACUGGUGGCGCAAUGAGCAAUUCUGGCUCAUCUCAGGCAUAAGCGCGCACCUAUAUGCGGUGGUGCAGGGGUUGCUCAAGGUGAUGGCCGGGAUUGAGAUCUCCUUCACACUGACCGCCAAGGCGGCGGCUGAAGACAACGAGGACAUCUACGCGGACCUCUACGUCGUCAAGUGGUCAUCGCUGCUCAUCCCGCCCAUCACCAUCGGCAUGCUCAACAUCAUCGCCAUCGCCUUCGCCUUCGCCCGCACCAUCUAUAGCGACAACCCACGGUGGGGCAAGUUCAUCGGCGGCGGUUUCUUCAGCUUUUGGGUGCUCGCUCAUCUCAACCCAUUCGCCAAGGGUCUCAUGGGCCGCCGCGGCAAGACACCCACCAUCAUCUUUGUCUGGUCAGGCCUCAUAUCCAUCACCAUCUCCCUCCUGUGGGUGGCCCUCAGUCCACCGGAGGCGAACUCCACCGGUGGUGCACGAGGCGGCGGAUUCCAGUUCCCUUAA